AAAUAUAUUUGUUAGGUGAGGCUCCUAUAUGGAUACACGCUGCUGCCGGGAAACAUCGAGAGAUGCCAAUCAUGGUCAACAGAUACUACCGAAUUAAGGUUUUAUCUAAUGCAGCUUUGACUUAUGUCAUACGCCCUAUAGUGCUAAAACUCAACGAAAGCUAUUGUU
RNAcentral lists this small RNA (168 nucleotides) under Clostridiales bacterium oral taxon 876 str. F0540. RNAcentral's name for it is "M-box riboswitch aptamer (ykoK leader)". It matches the Rfam family "M-box riboswitch aptamer (ykoK leader)". Rfam says of the family: M-box riboswitch, also know as ykoK leader is described as a metaloregulatory RNA that sense divalent metals and function as a genetic control element of genes related to divalent metal transport in bacteria. It was first reported upstream of the B.subtilis ykoK gene and genes with related functions in other bacteria. Phylogenetic analysis of the distribution of M-box RNAs across bacterial genomes revealed that M-box riboswitches are most often employed for the regulation of Mg2+ transporter genes Lineage: Bacteria; Bacillati; Bacillota; Clostridia; Eubacteriales. RNAcentral also lists the same sequence under 1 other name. The record is from Rfam by way of RNAcentral.